Molecule: non-coding RNA, 983 nt
Organism: Pantherophis guttatus
Lineage: Eukaryota; Metazoa; Chordata; Lepidosauria; Squamata; Colubridae
Source: RefSeq, a predicted model, not a curated record
UGGGUCCCAGCUAGAGUUUCUCUCGGCUUUCCCGGUCGCCGUUCCUGCCUCCCUCCGGACCUUCAAGUGGAGGCGCAAUUUCAUUGCAGGUUGCCGAAAGAAGAGGCCAUCUAUCACCUAAAUCUGCCUCAAAGUCACACACAGCAUUACAAUUUGGAAAUUAGGAAUCUUCUUACGAAGAGCAUAGGGUGUGAAGUACUUACUAAAAACAGGAACUUGCUGGGCAAAAGAUACCAGAUGGAAAGGAUUGAACCUUGAUUUGUUUUCAGUUUUAGAAGAAAAUCAACUCGUUUGAGCUGUGGUGCUGGAAAAUGCCCCUGCAUAUUCCUUGGACAGCAGAAGUGACUAGCAAGCAAGUACUGGAGCACACAACACCAGACAUGUAAUUUGAAGGCAAAAAUCACAAAACUGCAUCUCAAUUAUUUUUGCCAUAUCCUGUGGGAGAAUUUACUGGAGAAAGCAAUUAUGCUCAGAAGAGUUAGUAGUAAAAGGAAACCAACCUGCCAAAGAACACAAUGACUGGACACCAUCAAAGUGGACACCAGCCAGAGCAUAGAACAACUCAAAGAAGUAGUGUAAGAUUGGAAGGCAUAGAGAGACCCGGCUCAUAGAAUUGUCAAGAGUCGGACACAGCUGAAUGGAUAAUAUCAUCAUUAUAUUCGGUUUUACUUAUUCUAAAGCAAUUACAUAUAUAAUAUUGUAGAGCUGAUAGAGAAGUAUGCUUUUUCACUAAUAGGAAAUAUUGCAAGAAACAUUCUUAAGACUCAACUAACAGUAAAAAAAAUAACAAAAUGGUUCUUUUCCUCCUAAACUAAAUGGCAAAAUUGCAAUUCUUAGUGGUCAUUUAUUCAAGAAUUUAGAAAAUAUUGUCCCUUAAUUCUUUAUAUCUCUUUAUCUUCUAGAUCUGAUAUUUUGCACCUGAACUUCAGGCUGAUGAACCUCAGUCCUUGUAAAAAAUGAAAAUCUAUCCAUUGUUAUAUGAA